UCAAUGACGCUCUUGUGCCACUCGCGGGUUCCGUGACACAUAUUAAUCCUCGCCAUGUUCAUGCCCCCAACUGCCAGUGCCUGCAGCUGCUCGAAGCUACAUGUGGCCGGACCGAUCGUGCAAACAAGCUUCGUCCUCCUGGUGCUCCUAAACCCAUUCUCCUUCAAUUCAGCCUCCGUCACCGCAUCCACCUCGAUCGAACUCACAUCGGCCACUGCCAAGGAAGUAUACUCCGGCGCCAAGAC
Molecule: unclassified non-coding RNA, 245 nt
Filed under: Hevea brasiliensis (rubber tree)
Lineage: Eukaryota; Viridiplantae; Streptophyta; Magnoliopsida; Malpighiales; Euphorbiaceae
Source: RNAcentral